UGGCGGACGGGUGAGUAACGCGUGGAAAACCUGCCGUAUACUGGGGGAUAACACUUAGAAAUAGGUGCUAACACCGCAUAAGCGCACAGCUUCGCAUGAAGCGGUGUGAAAAACUCUGGUGGUAUACGAUGGUUCCGCGUCUGAUUAGCUAGUUGGUGGGGUAAUGGCCUACCAAGGCAACGAUCAGUAGCCGGCCUGAGAGGGUGAACGGCCACAUUGGGACUGAGACACGGCCCAAACUCCUACGGAAGGCAGCAG
Molecule: ribosomal RNA, 258 nt
Filed under: uncultured bacterium
Lineage: Bacteria
Description: partial 16S ribosomal RNA
Rfam family: Bacterial small subunit ribosomal RNA
Source: RNAcentral